ACGGGGACUAGCCCGGGUGGUUCGGCGUCACCUGUAACCUGAAACCGCCGUAACGCGGGGGGCGAAGUCUGAAGAAGGCCGCGAGCGGCCUGCAGAAUCCACUGUGUCCCAACGGAGAAGCCUCGUCCCAUGAGGUCGGCGGAGAGGGAUCAAAGUCCCGGAGGGGGCAGCGACCUCUUGCCGCGGGCACCGGUUCAGGCCCGGAAGGGAGCAGACUUACCGUGGACGUUCGGCGCCCAUGGGGUUGCGGGGUGGAGGAGGGGUGCUGUGGUGAAUGCUUGUGCGCACGGUCGACCGAGGACGUGUCCCCAA
This 312-nucleotide signal recognition particle RNA is filed under the name Methanoculleus sp. RNAcentral's name for it is "signal recognition particle sRNA". It matches the Rfam family "Archaeal signal recognition particle RNA". Lineage: Archaea; Methanobacteriati; Methanobacteriota; Methanomicrobia; Methanomicrobiales; Methanomicrobiaceae. The record is from RNAcentral. RNAcentral also lists the same sequence under 1 other name.